This is a long non-coding RNA of Oreochromis aureus, 1010 nucleotides long. RefSeq lists it as uncharacterized. Lineage: Eukaryota; Metazoa; Chordata; Actinopteri; Cichliformes; Cichlidae. The record is from RefSeq and is a predicted model, not a curated record. The transcript is spliced from 4 exons.
UAUCAAUAAAGGACUACCGUAUUAAACACUUUUACUAACCGCAUGCAGAUGGACAGGCGCUCUGCAGGUGGGAUUGAGCCCCUGUAGUUGGUGUCUAGGUGGGCGAUGCUUGGACCAACGCGGGACAGCAGGUCCUCAAACUGGGCAAGGGAAAGACGGUGGUACCGCUAAAACCUGCCGUCAUCCAGGCACAGCUCCUGGAGCAAAUGGUGAAACUCACCAAACUGCUCACGCCUCUGGAGGACAUGAUGGACCCAGGUACGGCGAGGAUGUCCUUUAAGCCGCUGCUCUGCUCUCCACAGUAAAUAGAGAAGGGAGACGGAUCUGCACGGAUAGCUGACCCCUCAGGCCCUAUUCUCUGUAGUUAUUUCAUUGUUGUGGCUUUCCUAGCAGCCUCUUCAUGGGUCCCCAUUUACCUGUGGGAUUCCAAGACUCUGAAAUAAGCGUGCUCACCUCUACUCUCAGUGAUUCUCUCGAUCAAAUUGACAUCUCGGAUUUGGAUAACUCUCUCUUCCCGAGGACUCCGAGUUCUUCUUCACCAGUGCUCCAGCCCAUCACGCCCCCAUACCAGCGACCCUCAGGGAAGAAUAUUCGUCUUUCCGAUUGGGAAAGGCAUGAGCUGUUCUCAAUGCUAGGUUGUCCCGCUUCUUCCGGCCACAGCUCCAAACCCACCGGCGCUUCUUCUUUCCCGUGACCCUCGGGGAAAAAUAUUCGUCUGUCCGCCUGAGAGAGGCAAGAUUUGCUCUCCGCGGUUGGUCCUCCAGAGCAGCGCUUCAGGCAGACGAAAUUCGCAGCGAAACACGGUCUACUUAAGCAUCUCAGGAGGAACAGGACGACCGGCAGGACCACAAGGAUAAGGACCACAAGGACAAGGCGCAGACGGCAUCAGCUCGCUUCUAUCGCUCUUCGAGCAGUAUGUCUCGUCGCUGAAUUAAUUCCGCUCAUCAUAUAAAAAAGCUUUUUUUUUCCUUUGUUUUUCAAACAACGGUGUUUUUUUUUACAUAUUCUUG